Acanthosepion pharaonis is the source of this 97-nucleotide non-coding RNA. NCBI's taxonomy places the organism in Eukaryota, Metazoa, Mollusca, Cephalopoda, Sepiida, Sepiidae. The record is from the annotation of a GenBank genome assembly.
GUUGAAACACCGGUUCCCGUACGAUCACGGAAGUUAAGCAACGUCGAGCCUACUCAGUACCUACGUGGGUGGCCACAUGGGAAUACCAGGUGCUGUG